AUGUAUAGGAUAGGGAUGUAGAAUGAGUCC
RNAcentral lists this non-coding RNA (30 nucleotides) under Homo sapiens (human). Lineage: Eukaryota; Metazoa; Chordata; Mammalia; Primates; Hominidae. The record is from RNAcentral.